CCUACGGGAGGCAGCAGUGAGGAAUAUUGGUCAAUGGGCUUACGCCUGAACCAGCCAAGUCGCGUGAGGGAAGACUGCCCUAUGGGUUGUAAACCUCUUUUGUCAGGGAGCAAUUGGCGCUACGUGUAGCGUUAUCGAGAGUACCUGAAGAAAAAGCAUCGGCUAACUCCGUGCAAGCAGCCGCGGUAAUACGGAGGAUGCGAGCGUUAUACGGAUUUAUUGGGUUUAAAGGGUGCGUAGGCGGAAUGCCAAGUCAGCGGGAAAAGCGCGGGGCUCAACCUCGCUCCGCCGUUGAAACUGGCGUUCUUGAGUGGGCGAGAAGUAUGCGGAAUGCGUGGUGUAGCGGUGACAUGCAUAGAUAUCACGCAGAACUCCGAUUGCGAAGGCAGCAUACCGGCGCCCAACUGACGCUGAAGCACGAAAGCGUGGGUAUCGAACAGGAUUAGAUACCCUAGUAGUC
RNAcentral lists this ribosomal RNA (460 nucleotides) under uncultured bacterium. Its description in RNAcentral is "partial 16S ribosomal RNA". It matches the Rfam family "Bacterial small subunit ribosomal RNA", at positions 338 to 795 of the family's 1533-position model. The record is from RNAcentral.